Molecule: long non-coding RNA, 2891 nt
Filed under: Homo sapiens (human)
Lineage: Eukaryota; Metazoa; Chordata; Mammalia; Primates; Hominidae
Description: HSALNT0329894
Source: RNAcentral
CAUUUAGUAAUUUAGACUUUGAAGCCAUUGGAAGAAUCUUAAUUAAACCUUUUUUAGGCAUGAAAAAAUAGCUAUUACAGUGCUUGCAAAACCUAUCUUUCGCUUGGCUCAUGCGUUAUUAGGAUGAUGCUUAAAUUAUUAUUUUUUAAUGUAACUGUGUCUCCUUUGUAAGUAGAACAGCUCUAACAUCAUCACCUGUCAGGAGUUUUAGUUGUUUAAAUUGCUGAGAGCCACAAGUAGUGGUAACAAUGUUACAGGAAGGGGGAAGCUGUUACUAGACUGUCUCUAUAGUUAUCCUUUUUAUAUUUUAAAUUUGACGUUUGGUAUUCUUAAAGACCUCUGUUUGUGCUCCUGAAAUUUGACUGUUGUAAUGAUUGCAAAUGGCUAAUAACCAGGAUCUCUUCUGAGUCUGGGAACUGCUGAAGUUUGUUCUUUAGACCUGGCAGUUAUUUGCCAGUGGUUAAUAAUUAAGACAUUGCCACAGAGGUCCAAGUACCUGGAACUGGGAUUUGUUUCUGGUGACUAGUGGUGAGGAGUAGGGAAGAGUUUCUGUUGAUUUCCUGAGUCUACAUGUAUCUACUCUAGAUCCAAAGACUGACCAAGAAGUCAUGAGACUGUCCUAUCAGGUUCAGUUCUUGCUCUUUAAGAAAUUGUAAUUUCAACCACGUCUAUAAAAGAGGGAUAGAAAAAGCUCUAAGGCUGUGAUCUUAGACUUUAAAUGCUGUAGAAAUUCAUAGAAGUGAGGGAAUUAAGUGGAAAGGCUAUUGGACUGACAGAAGGCCUAAGUUUCAAAAUCUUAGAAUGCUGGAGUCAAAAGGAUGCUAAGAAUUAUCUAAUUCAACCCCUUUAUUUUUUAUUUUUUAAGAGUCAGAGUCUUACUCUGUUGCCCAGGCUGGAGCGCAGUGGUGCAGUCAUGGCCCACUGCAGCCUGGAACUCCUGGGCUCAAGCAGUCCUCCCACCUCAGCCUCCAGAGUAGCUGGGAUACAGGCACAGGCCACCGGGCCCAGCUAUCAACCCCUUUACUUUAUAGAUUAAGAAAUGUUGACUAGACAAGUGAUCUGUCCAAAUUUAAAACUAGAAAUAGAACCUUUAUCUCCCACCCUGUCUGAAUUAUUCUUUCCAUAUGUAGCUGCUUAGUUGUGUCUUUACCACUAAUUAACCAUGUGAACUCUAAGCAAGUUAUUUUACUUUUCUUCAUCUUUUUAUCUUUUGUAAAAUUAGGGGGUUAUUAUGAAUCAUUUCUAACAUCUCUGCUAAUGCCCCAGAUACUGUAAAUGACCCAGAAUGUAAUUGCGGGCAGUGUUAACUUAGCUUCCUAGAAGAUGGGGGAUAUGACUGGGCCUUGAAUAAAAUCCAAGAUUUGGCAGAGUAGAGAGGGAAAGAAUUCAUGAGAUGGGGAGCAGUAGAACAAAGGCUUAGGUGUGAAUAUGUGGCUGUAGUAAAGAGAAAUGGCCUGAUUAUAGCAAUUAUAUGAGGUUUAGUAGAACCAUUUAAGAAAGGUAAAGCCACUUCAUAGAAAUUAUUUUAUCCCUGGUUUGCUUCCUUUUUUUUUUUUUUUAAUAGCCUUGGGAAUCUUGAUUAUUUUCAAGGCUCUCUGUUUCUGUGAUCUAAUAUAGGAGACUGACAGUUUUGAAAACAUUAAUUCUCUCUCACCAAAGUAACUAUGGGGCAGAGAGAAUCACUAAUGUAACUAUAUGUGACCAGAAGAACUCUGUUGAGAAGAGAUUAUUAUUCAUCUCUGGAGAGAUAGUUUUGACUUGUGUUUAAUGAAAGAACAUGUCUGUAGGAUUAAAAAAAACUCUUAUGUUAUUUUACAUAGUGUAAGGCUAUCAACUUUUAUUAUUAAAAAUGAAAGCAGGCACUUUGGGAGGCCGAGAUUUAAAGGGUUCAUGGGAUUGGGUCAGGCCCACUUGGAUGAUUCCCCUUUCUUAAAAGUCAGUUGUGCCUGAGCCAGGCAUGGUGCUAUAUGCCUGUAGGCCCCACUACUUGGGAGGCUGAGGCAGGAGGAUUGCUGGAGCUCAGGAGUUCAAGGCCAGCCUGGCAACAUAGUGAGACCUUGUCUCAAAAACAAACAAACAAACAAAAAAACAUAGACCAAAAAAAAAGUCAAUUUUGCCUAAAAUGUAAUCUAAUCACAGGAAUGAUAUCCUAUCAUAUUCACAGUCCUGAUGAUUAUACAGGGUGUGUACAUCAGGCUAGCAAUCUUGGGGGACAUCUUAGACUUCCACCUAUCACAUUAAACAUGUUCCUCACACUAAAUUAGCCCAUGAGCAAGGGUGGAUGUCAGAAAAGAGAGAAGUAGGAGUGUAUACCGAGGGAGUUAGUGAAUUGUGUUGUGAUUAUACAUAUAAGAAAACCUGGCUGGGCAUGAUGGCAGGUGCCUUGUAAUCCCAGCUACUCAGGAGGCUGAGGCAGGAGAAUCACUUGAACCCAGGAGGUGGAGGUUGCAGUGAGCCAAGAACACAAAAACCUUUGUAGUUCCCAGGGAUCCUGGGCCUCCUAGAAUCGUCAGAGUGUAAGGACCAAGUGGCAUUCAGCUGUGCUGUUCUGGUGGUAGUCCAUUUAGCCAAGAACUCAAAUAUAAUUGUAGUUGUCUAUUACAACUUAGCCUUAACAAAAUCUUUAGAAAGUAAUGAAAUACAGGCUUACAGUGUGGGUUUAUAUUUCCCGUGUGCUGGCCACAUGGUUCUUGCAAUUACCGUCCAUGAUUAACUGUCCAUGUGAAGCACAGAAGUAGGAAUUAGAAACACUUUUUGCUAUGUAGAAUGUACUCUGUGUUCAGAGUAAUGUUUAGUCAUACUCUCUUUUUAGAUCCCUGCUAACCUCUCUGCUGCUAAGAACUACCCAAUUACCUUUUGCUUGGCUACAUGAGCAUCCUGUGCCAAGAGAC